GUCCCGGGUAGCCUAGUGGACAUGGCAUCUGCCCGGUAAGCGGAACAUUGUAGGUUCGAUUCCCAUCCCUGGACA
RNAcentral lists this transfer RNA (75 nucleotides) under Cordylochernes scorpioides. RNAcentral describes it as "tRNA-Thr". It matches the Rfam family "tRNA". Rfam says of the family: Transfer RNA (tRNA) molecules are approximately 80 nucleotides in length. Their secondary structure includes four short double-helical elements and three loops (D, anti-codon, and T loops). Lineage: Eukaryota; Metazoa; Arthropoda; Arachnida; Pseudoscorpiones; Chernetidae. The record is from RNAcentral.